Amphiprion ocellaris (clown anemonefish) is the source of this 888-nucleotide long non-coding RNA. RefSeq lists it as uncharacterized. The record is from RefSeq and is a predicted model, not a curated record. The transcript has 3 exons. Lineage: Eukaryota; Metazoa; Chordata; Actinopteri; Pomacentridae.
CCGGGGACAACCACGGCUACCAGCAUGAACGACGGCGCUUCAGACCUUUGUAGCGAGGACCCGAUGCCAGGUCCAGUGGACAGACUUCAGACGUCUCUGUGUGUCCGGUCCUGUCCGGUCCUGUCUCUGGUUGCCUGGUUACAGAAGCUGCUGCACCUGAAACUCCACAACGUCUAAAGAAGCAAAAACGUUUGCAAAUGUACAGACUGGAGUGGGAAGAGUGGAACCCCUGGCAGUGGGUACAAGGCAAACUGUGUUUUCUGUUGCUCAUGGACUGGCUGAAGUAAGGCAGCAUCAGGAGGCAAACAUGGAGGAAAUACGAGAACAGAGAGAACCCAACCAGCAGGUCACAGUUUAUCAUCAUCUAAUCAUCUCCUGAAGUCCAUAUGGUCCCUCUCUAUCUCCCCACACAUCCACCAACCACUGGAACACAUCUCCAAAGUUCUGCUGGGCCUGCUCAGCUUCUCCUCAGAAGAAGUUCCGCCACCUACCAGAUGAAGGAGCCUUUUGAGAGGCAGCUGGCAUCGUGAUUGGACUGUACUUUGGUCUGUUCCAAUCCAGCUUCAGCUCCAGAGACGGCAGGCCGGACGAGUCAACGGAGGCCGGGUGGACGAAGACAUGCAGCUGAGUACAAUCCAGAAAACAACAGAGGAGGAGUGCAGCAGCCCAGGACCAGAACAAACAGAGUAGCAUCGUAUGUCUCUUAGAAAACAUCAUAGUAUAGCCUUUGCUAUGAAAAAAACGCCAUCAUAUACAUCGUAUAUUGUACAAAUAACAAGUCAAGGAAAGAGACAUACAUUGUAGAAUUGUAGUAAUUGUCGGCUGACUGAUUUACUGAUUAUCAGUAUUUUAUUUUUUUUGUUGAUUUAUGGUAAUAAAUACAUUUAA